Molecule: ribosomal RNA, 324 nt
Filed under: uncultured eukaryote
Lineage: Eukaryota
Description: partial 18S ribosomal RNA
Rfam family: Eukaryotic small subunit ribosomal RNA
Source: RNAcentral
CCCUUAGAUGUUCUGGGCCGCACGCGCGCUACACUGACGAAUGCAACGAGCUUAUAACCUUGGCCGAAAGGUCUGGGUAAUCUCCAAAUUUCGUCGUGAUGGGGAUAGAUUAUUGCAAUUAUUAAUCUUCAACGAGGAAUGCCUAGUAAGCGCAAGUCAUCAGCUUGCGUUGAUUACGUCCCUGCCCUUUGUACACACCGCCCGUCGCUCCUACCGAUUGAGUGCUCAGGUGAAUAAUUCGGACUGCAGCAGUGUUUGGAUCCCGAACGCUGCAGCGGAAAGUUUAGUGAACCUUAUCACUUAGAGGAAGGAGAANUCGUAACA